This 334-nucleotide ribosomal RNA is filed under the name uncultured bacterium. RNAcentral describes it as "partial 16S ribosomal RNA". It matches the Rfam family "Bacterial small subunit ribosomal RNA", at positions 338 to 689 of the family's 1533-position model. The record is from RNAcentral.
CCUACGGGAGGCUGCAGUAGGGAAUAUUGCUCAAUGGGGGAAACCCUGAAGCAGCAACGCCGCGUGGAGGAUGAAGGUUUUCGGAGUGUAAACGCCUUUUGUUAGAGAAGAGAAGGACGGUAUCUAACGAAUAAGCACCGGCUAACUCCGUGCCAGCAGCCGCGGUAAUACGGAGGGUGCAAGCGUUACUCGGAAUCACUGGGCGUAAAGAGCGCGUAGGCGGGAUCGCAAGUCAGAUGUGAAAUCCUAUGGCUUAACCCUAGAACUGCAUUUGAAACUUUUAUUCUAGAGUAUGGGAGAGGUAGGUGGAAUUCUUGGUGUAGUGGUCAACUCC